This 274-nucleotide ribosomal RNA is filed under the name uncultured bacterium. Its description in RNAcentral is "partial 16S ribosomal RNA". It matches the Rfam family "Bacterial small subunit ribosomal RNA", at positions 523 to 796 of the family's 1533-position model. The record is from RNAcentral.
AUACGGAGGGUGCAAGCGUUACUCGGAAUCACUGGGCGUAAAGCGCGCGCAGGCGGUCUUUUAAGUUGGAUGUGAAAGCCUACAGCUCAACUGUAGAACUGCAUCCAAAACUAUUAGACUAGAGUCUGGGAGGGGAAGAUGGAAUUAGUUGUGUAGGGGUAAAAUCCGUAGAGAUAACUAGGAAUACCAAAAGCGAAGGCGAUCUUCUGGAGCAGUACUGACGCUGAGGCGCGAAAGCGUGGGGAGCAAACAGGAUUAGAAACCCUAGUAGUCC